GCUCUGACUUCAUUGCACUACUGUAUCAGACAGCUAGCAGUGCAAUAGUAUUGUCAAAGCAU
RNAcentral lists this microRNA precursor (62 nucleotides) under Monopterus albus (swamp eel). Its description in RNAcentral is "Mal-Mir-130-P2b2_pre stem-loop". It matches the Rfam family "mir-301 microRNA precursor family", at positions 12 to 71 of the family's 84-position model. The record is from RNAcentral. Lineage: Eukaryota; Metazoa; Chordata; Actinopteri; Synbranchiformes; Synbranchidae.